UACGGGAGGCAGCAGGGGGAAGUAUUGCACAAUGGGCGCAAGCCUGAUGCAGCCAUGCCGCGUGUAUGAAGAAGGCCUUCGGGUUGUAAAGUACUUUCAGUCGUGAGGAAGGUGUUAAGGUUAAUAACCUUAGCAAUUGACGUUAGCGACAGAAGAAGCACCGGCUAACUCCGUGCCAGCAGCCGCGGUAAUACGGAGGGUGCGAGCGUUAAUCGGAAUUACUGGGCGUAAAGGGCACGCAGGCGGUUAAUUAAGUUGGAUGUGAAAUCCCCGGGCUUAACCUGGGAAUGGCAUUCAAGACUGGUUAGCUAGAGUCUUGUAGAGGGGGUAGAAUUCCAUGUGUAGCGGUGAAAUGCGUAGAGAUGUGGAGGAAUACCGGUGGCGAAGGCGGCCCCUGGACAAAGACUGACGCUCAUGUGCGAAAGCGUGGGGAGCAAACAGGGAUUAGAUA
This 451-nucleotide ribosomal RNA is filed under the name uncultured bacterium. RNAcentral's name for it is "bacterial SSU rRNA". It matches the Rfam family "Bacterial small subunit ribosomal RNA", at positions 340 to 784 of the family's 1533-position model. The record is from RNAcentral.